UCACCGGGUAACACACUCACCUU
RNAcentral lists this microRNA (23 nucleotides) under Brachionus plicatilis. RNAcentral describes it as "Bpl-Mir-36-P17_3p (mature (guide))". The record is from RNAcentral. Lineage: Eukaryota; Metazoa; Rotifera; Eurotatoria; Ploima; Brachionidae.